CUACAAAGGGAAGCCCUUUCUGUUGUCUAAACUAAAAGAAAGUGCUUCUCUUUGCUGGGU
Molecule: microRNA precursor, 60 nt
Filed under: Macaca mulatta (Rhesus monkey)
Lineage: Eukaryota; Metazoa; Chordata; Mammalia; Primates; Cercopithecidae
Description: Mml-Mir-430-P32b_pre stem-loop
Rfam family: mir-515 microRNA precursor family
Source: RNAcentral